Molecule: ribosomal RNA, 81 nt
Filed under: Ancylomarina salipaludis
Lineage: Bacteria; Pseudomonadati; Bacteroidota; Bacteroidia; Marinilabiliales; Marinifilaceae
Source: RNAcentral
CUUCCCAUCCCGAACAGAGAAGUUAAGCCCAUUAGCGCCGAUGGUACUGCCAAGUGGUGGGAGAGUAGGUCGAUGCCAACU